UACGUAGGAUGCAAGCGUUGUCCGGAAUUAUUGGGCGUAAAGAGCGCGCAGGCGGUGUGCCAAGUCAGAUGUGAAAUAUCCGGGCUUAACUCGGAGGGGUCAUUUGAAACUGGUAGACUAGAGUACAGCAGAGGAUAGUGGAAUUCCCGGUGUAGUGGUGAAAUGCGUAGAUAUCGGGAGGAACACCAGUGGCGAAGGCGACUAUCUGGGCUGAAACUGACGCUGAGGCGCGAAGGCUAGGGGAGCAAACAGG
RNAcentral lists this ribosomal RNA (253 nucleotides) under uncultured bacterium. RNAcentral's name for it is "partial 16S ribosomal RNA". It matches the Rfam family "Bacterial small subunit ribosomal RNA", at positions 524 to 776 of the family's 1533-position model. The record is from RNAcentral.